CUUCCGGUUCCGGGAUUCCGCUUGUUAUUAGAAAGUUUGCGGCGUCUCCGAGCCUUCGGGCCGAUAUUUGGGACUCAGGGUUCACCGAACAAAUUCUGCUGCAGCCAUGGCGGCCUCCACCGCGGCCGGGAAGCAGAGAAUUCCCAAAGUGGCCAAGGUGAAAAACAAAGCCCCAGCUGAGGUACAGAUCACUGCGGAACAGCUUUUAAGAGAAGCUAAAGAAAGAGAACUUGAGCUUCUUCCACCUCCACCUCAACAGAAGAUCACAGAUGAAGAAGAGUUAAAUGAUUACAAACUAAGGAAAAGGAAGACUUUUGAAGAUAACAUAAGAAAAAACAGGACUGUGAUUAGUAACUGGAUAAAAUACGCACAAUGGGAAGAGAGUCUAAAGGAGAUUCAAAGGGCUCGAUCCAUAUACGAACGUGCUUUAGAUGUGGACUAUCGAAAUAUUACACUCUGGCUGAAAUAUGCGGAAAUGGAAAUGAAGAAUCGCCAGGUCAACCAUGCCCGAAAUAUCUGGGACCGGGCCAUAACAACUCUGCCCCGAGUCAACCAAUUCUGGUACAAAUACACGUACAUGGAGGAGAUGCUGGGAAAUGUGGCUGGUGCUCGGCAGGUGUUUGAGCGCUGGAUGGAAUGGCAGCCUGAGGAGCAAGCCUGGCACUCCUACAUCAACUUUGAGCUGCGAUACAAAGAAGUGGAUCGAGCCCGCACCAUUUAUGAGAGAUUUGUACUUGUGCACCCUGAUGUUAAGAACUGGAUCAAGUAUGCCCGCUUUGAGGAAAAACAUGGUUAUUUUGCCCAUGCACGAAAAGUGUACGAGAGAGCUGUGGAAUUCUUUGGAGAUGAACAUAUGGAUGAACGCCUUUAUGUUGCCUUUGCCAAAUUUGAAGAAAAUCAGAAAGAAUUUGAAAGGGUACGAGUGAUAUACAAGUAUGCCCUGGAUAGAAUUUCAAAACAAGAGGCCCAAGAGCUCUUUAAAAAUUAUACCAUCUUUGAGAAGAAGUUUGGUGAUAGGCGGGGUAUUGAAGACAUCAUUGUGAGCAAACGGAGAUUCCAAUAUGAAGAAGAAGUGAAGGCUAAUCCACACAAUUAUGAUGCCUGGUUUGAUUACCUGCGCUUGGUGGAAAGUGAUGCAGAAGCAGAAACUGUACGAGAAGUCUAUGAAAGAGCUAUUGCCAAUGUCCCACCCAUUCAGGAGAAGAGACAUUGGAAGCGUUACAUCUAUCUUUGGGUCAACUAUGCACUCUAUGAAGAACUGGAGGCAAAGGAUCCUGAAAGGACAAGACAGGUAUAUCAAGCCUCUUUGGAACUAAUUCCUCAUAAAAAGUUCACAUUUGCCAAAAUGUGGCUACUAUAUGCACAAUUUGAAAUAAGACAGAAAAAUUUACCAUUUGCCCGAAGAGCUUUGGGGACUUCCAUAGGCAAAUGUCCAAAGAACAAGUUAUUUAAAGGUUACAUAGAAUUGGAGCUACAGCUUCGAGAAUUUGACAGAUGCCGGAAGCUUUAUGAAAAGUUCCUGGAAUUUGGACCUGAAAAUUGUACCUCUUGGAUUAAAUUUGCAGAAUUGGAAACAAUCCUUGGCGAUAUUGAGAGAGCCCGAGCAAUCUACGAGUUAGCCAUCAGCCAGCCACGUUUAGACAUGCCAGAGGUGCUCUGGAAAUCAUACAUUGAUUUUGAAAUUGAGCAGGAAGAAACUGAAAGAACACGCAAUCUUUACCGACGAUUGCUUCAACGGACACAACAUGUCAAGGUAUGGAUCAGUUUUGCACAGUUUGAGUUGUCUUCAGGGAAAGAAGGAAGUUUGCCUAAAUGCAGACAGAUUUAUGAAGAGGCUAACAAAACCAUGCGAAACUGUGAGGAAAAAGAAGAGAGACUUAUGUUGCUGGAAUCUUGGAGAAGCUUUGAAGAUGAAUUUGGAACUACGUCAGAUAAGGAAAGAGUAGACAAACUCAUGCCAGAGAAAGUCAAAAAGAGAAGAAAGGUCCAGGCUGAUGAUGGGUCUGAUGCAGGCUGGGAAGAAUACUAUGAUUACAUCUUUCCGGAAGAUGCUGCCAACCAACCGAAUCUCAAGCUCCUGGCCAUGGCCAAACUUUGGAAGAAACAGCAACAGGAAAAGGAGGCUGCCGAGCAAGACCCAGAUAAGGACAUUGAUGAGAGUGAAUCCUGAUCUUGUUCAUACUGAUGUUUUAUUAUUUUUAUAAAUUAAGUUUGGAACUCUGUGGCUCCUGCUGCUCAGAGCCUUUGAUAUGCUACCAUAUAUAUAUGAAUUAACAGCAACAAUGCUGGCAUGUUCCCCAAACUCGCUGGACGAGGGAGUCAUUGCUACCUAGAGUACCAGUAAGUAUCUCUCAGUGUUCUACUCAGCUCAAUGAAUCUUAAUAGCACAAGGAGAAUAAUAAUAGCAUUUGGAUAAUACAUUGCUCAUAUUCUCAAGCAAAAAAUAAUUGCCUUAAUUAACUGAUCUGAAAUUGUUUCCUUUAACUUGGCAUAUAUUUCUUAAGCCUAUCUUUUUUUGCUCUGUUGACUGCCCAAGUUAUAGAACUAUUUAUCUCUAAGACUGUUUUUCACUUAUAAGGAGAAUUAGCAAAUUUAUUAUUAAGUUUGCAAAUAUGUUACCCACAGGAAUAAAAGCUAGUUAAUGUUACUAAAUUGUAUCUUGAAAAUAAGAUAGUUUGUGAUUUUUUAAGGGCAGAAUAAAAUAGGACUGUUAGGAUAAAAGGCAACUGUUUUCAGUCUCACUGGUUCACUGGACCAGUAUCAGCUGUUGGGUAUCAGGUUCUGACUAUUGAGUAGUGAGGUCUGCCUAGUCAGUGAGGAGUAUUUGUGAUUUUAAUAUCCUUUGGCAAAGUGCGCAGUGUCAAAGGGUGAGAUGAAAACAGGCUAAAAUGCUAAUAAAAGUGACUGAUCAUAGAGUCUUGCUAAAAUUAUGUUUAUGUUGCAUGUAUGCAUAAGAAAAAAAAAUCGGAUCAAUGCAAAGUCAACACUUCCUGGGAAGUACCAGAGUGUAAUGCAUGAAGGAAAAAGUUAUUCUCUAACGGUAGAACAUAAAGGAUUCAUUUCUUGUUCACUCUUUCAACCCUACCAAAGUAAGUCCUUUCAAAAGUAACAGCUUUUUAGUAAUCAUUUCUGUGGGAUUUUCUUUACUUCUUUUACUCCAUGUUUUCAUAUAUUACAGGUGAUGAAAACUACACAUGAAAGUAUGUUGUUGGUCUAUUAUCUAGUUACAUGACCUUUAGGAUUUAGGUUCUUUUUCCCCUUUGAAUAAACCGCAACAUCUUUUUAUAAUUUAAAAGGCAUGAUUUAAGUAAAAUAUAUAUGAGAUACGGAAAGGAUCUAGAACUAACAGUAUGAAAACAAUAACUGGGAAGAAUUUAUUUUGAAAUAAGGAAGCUUAAGUAUGCUGGUCAGAAACUAUUUCAAGUAUGCAUUUUAAAAAUGUUCUAUAUAUAAAUAAAUAAGCAUAUCCUAAAUGAUGCUUUCUCAAUCUUAAUUUAGUUUUACAAACUUCCAAAAAACAUUUAUAGAGUCAACAGUGCACUUUAUUAUACAUCUUAGAUUUAACAUUUCAUAUAUGGUUUUAAAGCUUCAAUCAAUAGUUCAAUACAAAAUAAAAAAUAUAUAUAUAUAUAUGCAGCAGUGGUUCUCAGGCAUAGAAUUUAUGAGGAGAUUGGAGCUUUUUUCCCCCAGCAUAUAGUGAAUAUUAUGAACUCUGAUAGAAUGUUUCCAUCUGACUUAGCUGCCUUUCUGAUGGAAUUUUAUUACAGUGGACCGCUUCAGUAGGUAUGAUGUUGCUACCUGGAAACAGUAAAAUUUAAAACAUUUUCUUUUAGUCUUUAAGAUCUAAAUAAGCACUUUUCUCUAACAGAACUCUAAUGCCAUCCAAUAAAAAUAAUAUUGUCCAUAAAAUAUCUGGACUUGAUGACCGUUCCUCCUCCUGCCUGCAGGCCUGGCACUAGGAUUUCAGGUCAAUCGUAAAUUGAAAGUGAUUUUCUUCACUCAGAGAAUAUCAGGAUAAUGGGAUUAUCUGUUUGUUCUCCGAAAACAAACAAA
Myotis myotis is the source of this 4053-nucleotide RNA transcript. It is a transcript of the gene named crooked neck pre-mRNA splicing factor 1, with no coding region annotated. NCBI's taxonomy places the organism in Eukaryota, Metazoa, Chordata, Mammalia, Chiroptera, Vespertilionidae. The record is from RefSeq and is a predicted model, not a curated record. The transcript is spliced from 15 exons.